UUACUUUGUCAUUACUUUGGUAGAAAGAAUAUGUUCACAUUUCUGUUUUUCAGGCUGUGUCAAUAAUGGGAAAUGAAGUUUUUCAUUUUAACUUGGAUUUGUACCCAGAUGUGACUGAAGGGGAUUCAUACACUGACAUGUCCAAAGUGGAUGGCGUGGUGUUGCUGAAUGUUGGCUGCAUUCAGAUUGUCUAUCUUCAUAAGUUCCUUGUGUCCCUUUUGCACUUCCUGAACAAUUUCCAGACAGCCAAAGAGGCCCUGAGCGCAGCCACCGCGCAGGCUGCAGAAAAGGCCGCCACCAGUGUGAAAGACCUUGCCCAGCGGAGUUUGCGCUUCUCUGUCAGCAUUAAUUUGAAAGCACUCGUUAUUGUCAUCCCACAGUCUUCUGUUUCCAGCAACGCUGUUGUGGUGGACCUUGGUUUGAUCAGAGUUCAGAACCAGUUCAGUCUUGGGUCUGGGGAAGGGUCUGUAAAUCCUCCUGUGAUCGAUAGAAUGGAUGUGCAGCUCACGGACCUGAAGCUGUCCAGGACAGUGAUCCAACCAGGCACCUCCCAGCCUGAUAUUCAGCUGUUGCACCCAAUUAACUUUGAGUUUUUUGUAAAUCGAAAUCUUGCUGCAAAUUGGUAUCAUAAGAUACCUGUUGUGGAAAUUAAAGGACAUUUUGAUACAAUGAAUGUUUGUCUAAAUCAAGAAGAUCUUAAUGUUUUGUUUAGAAUACUGUCGGAAAAUCUUGGUGAAACUCCUGAAGAGUUAGAUAAAGUGAAACCAAGAGUACCAGAGACAGGUGAAAUCAAAGAUGCCCCUGAAAUUUCUACAUCACAGAGAUUACAAGCUUCAAAAGAUGCUUCAAGAGCUGAAAGAGAAGAAAUUAGAUCUGUAAACAUUGUUAAUGUACUGCUGAAUUUUGAAAUUAAAGAGGUUAUGGUGAUGCUGAUGAAAAAGGCGGAAAAGAGUGGGAGGCCAGUGCACGAGCUCAGUGUCCUGCAGCUUGGAGUGGAAGCUAGAGUUCAAGCUUAUGCCGUGACCGCUGAAGCUUAUCUCCAGCAAGUCAGCAUGCGGUGCCUGGAUUUCACUGACGCAGAAGGAGGCCCUCUGCACAUCGUGCGCUCCUCUCGCGUGACUAAGGAGCCGCUCCUGAAGAUGGCCUUGACCAAGGCAGACAGUGAUGGACCGGAAUUUAAAACUGUUCAUGACAAUACCAAACAGAGACUAAAGGUUUCAUUUUCAUCCUUAGACAUAUUACUUCAUUUAGAAGCUUUACUUUCCCUUAUGGAUUUUUUGUCAUCGGCUGCUCCAUCCUCUGAGUCGUCUUCUAGGAAGGAAUCUGAGCUAAAACCACUUGUAGGGGAGUCCAGAAGUAUUGCCAUCAAAGCUGUAUCUGGCACCAUUUCUAAAGAGGAUAUGUUCGAUUUAAAGGUUACAGCUGAAUUAGAUGCUAUUAAUGUUGUUGUCUGUGAUCAGAAGUGUUCUACAGCUGAUGUUAAAAUACAUGGAAUGGAUGCCUCUGUUUCUGUGAAGCCAAAACAGACUGAUAUGUUUGCCAGACUUCAGAAUAUCAUAGUAACAAAUGUUGAUUUGAAGUCCAUUCACAAAAAGGUAAAAAUUGAUUUCUCAACUGAAAUGUCUUCUGUGUUUUGUAUUUGAGAUGCUUUUUUGUUGUUGUCCAAUGCAUUUACUAGUCUGUCACAUGAGGCCUUCUCUAAGGGUGGGGAUAUAGAUGGUGACCACCUGCUUUCCUGUCAUGUGCACACUAGGCCUUCUGGUUACUUCUGAAAGUGCAAUGAUGGACUGAUACUGCCUGUAGUAAAGGGUUUUUUAUAACGAUACGAAAAAAGUUAUUGUCAAAUAAGUUGGGUUAACUAAUAAUGUUUAAGGCUGAAUCGGGGGUCACUUUCUCUAAUGAGGAACUUUGUGAUACAGAGAAGGGCCUGCAACUCUCCGGUGCCAAAGCCAAUGAUCUCAUCCUUUCAGGCUGUCUCCAUCUUGGGAGAGGAAGUCUUCCGGUUCCAGAUGACGUUAGCUUUGGAAAAUUUUGCCUUAUCUGAGCUGUAAGGCAAGACAAACACAGAAGCAGUUGUCCUGAGUCCUGGCUUCUUCACAGCCGUCCAGCUAUGGUCAAGCCCUGAAGGCACCUGGGUACUCAGGGGUCUGAAACAGAGUUCAAGCGAAGAAUUAAUUGAACUGCAUAUUCUACACCCAAAACUAAACGCCUUGGAGAUGACUCCACACAGGAUAUCCAGCCUCAUCCAGAAAAAUUGCACACCUAAAAGGAUCCUUUGGAAACACUUCAUAAAGCUAUCUGCCUUGAAUUUACUGAUCUAAAACAGCCUUGAUUGGCUGGGCGUGAAUUUCUUUUUUAAAAAAAUAAGUGUAUUUCUGGUCCCUCCCGCCAGUACUUUGGGAGGUUGAGGCUGGCUGAGCAAUCUCCGAAUAAUAAAUAAUAAAAUAAGGAGAAGGAGAACAAGGAAGACAAAAAAGGCCAAGGAUGUAGCUCAGUGCAAAGGUCCUGGCUCAAUUCCCAGCACCAGAAAAAAAAUUUUGAGGCAGUUUCAUAGCUACCUACAAGUUGCCAAGCGCAGAGCCCAGCUCCCGGGCCUGGCUUCCCUGGUCUUACAUCCCCUUCCCUCUGCCAAACAAAAUACUUUGUGCAGUCGCGAGCUCCCGGGGCGCGCUCCCGCGCGGUCCGUCCUAACCCAUCGCCCCAACUCCAGCCUCCUCUUGCUACUCCUGAUCUUUCAAACAGGACGGGAAGCCCGGCGCCGCCCCCGGCGAUGCCGGCGGCGUCCUCGGCCCCGGACCGGCCGAGCGUGGCGGAC
RNAcentral lists this long non-coding RNA (2815 nucleotides) under Cavia porcellus (domestic guinea pig). Its description in RNAcentral is "lncRNA (ENSCPOG00000030850.1)". Lineage: Eukaryota; Metazoa; Chordata; Mammalia; Rodentia; Caviidae. The record is from RNAcentral.